Molecule: ribosomal RNA, 253 nt
Filed under: uncultured bacterium
Lineage: Bacteria
Description: partial 16S ribosomal RNA
Rfam family: Bacterial small subunit ribosomal RNA
Source: RNAcentral
UACGAGUGGUGCGAGCGUUGUUCGGAAUUACUGGGCAUAAAGAGCACGUAGGCGGUCUGGUAAGUCUGCUGUGAAAUCCCCCGGCUCAACCGGGGAACUGCAGCUGAUACUGCUGGGCUAGAGUGCGGGAGGGGAGAGCGGAAUUCCUGGUGGAGCGGUGAUAUGCGUAGAUAUCAGGAGGAACGCCGGAGGCGAAAGCGGCUCUCUGGUCCGCAACUGACGCUGAGGUGCGAAAGCUAGGGGAGCGAACAGG